Molecule: ribosomal RNA, 465 nt
Filed under: uncultured bacterium
Lineage: Bacteria
Description: partial 16S ribosomal RNA
Rfam family: Bacterial small subunit ribosomal RNA
Source: RNAcentral
GACGAACGCUGGCGGCGUGCUUAACACAUGCAAGUCGAACGGAAAGGCCCUGCUUGCAGGGUCCUCGAGUGGCGAACGGGUGAGUAACACGUGGGUGAUCUGCCCUGUACUUUGGGAUAAGCCUGGGAAGCUGGGUCUAAUACCGGAUAGGAGCCAUUUUUAGUGUGAUGGUUGGAAAGUUUUUUCGGUGUAGGAUGAGCUCGCGGCCUAUCAGCUUGUUGGUGGGGUAAUGGCCUACCAAGGCGGCGACGGGUAGCCGGCCUGAGAGGGUGGACGGGCACCUUGGGACUGGGACACGGCCCAGACUCCUACGGGAGGGAGAAGUGGGGAAGAUUGAACAAUGAGCGCAAGCCUGAUGCAGCGGCGCCGCGGGGGGGAUGACGGCCUUCGGGUUGGAAACGCCUUUCGCUAGGGACGAAGCAUUUUGUGACGGUACCUAGAUAAGAAGCACCGGCUAACUACGUG